UCAUAAAAAAAGCCUGCAGGAAAAAAUAUAUUAAAUCUUUGUUAAAUUCAAAAUGUUAAAGCAAGGGACGCUAGUAAUUCAGAUUCGAAAGGACGACUCACAUGAGUAUCUGAAGGAGAAUAAUACUCCUACUAUAACUAGGAGCCAAAGUAAACAUGAGUAUUUGGUCUGUUAUCGGGUUUUUUUUUGACAGCCGGUCUGUUAUCGUAUUUGCUGGUAUGCCCAGCCGUUUGCCGUUUGGUCUGUGCAAAUUUAAGCUGGUUUCCCCAGCAGCUACUUGCUCAGUUUGUCUGGUUUGGGCUUUGUACACAAAGCUGGACAUGAGGUGCCUUUUCGUCUAAAAAAAAGCAAACAUGAGACUGCACUUGACAAUUUCAAAACUUGUGAAUGUUCUCUGAUUUUAAAUACCCCUUCCGUUUCAUAUUAAGCGACAAAAUAUUACAUGUAUCUAAACGUAUUUUGGAUAUAAAUACAUUCAUAUUUGAACAAAUUUGAGCAAGCUAAUAUGGAACGGAGGAUUAUUAUGAAAAUGUGUAUGCGUGGCAUACUGGCAUCUGCAGUGUCGGAUCACCCUGUGCAAAACCGAACCGUAAACCGAAAAACCGGAAGAAAAUAACCGUAACCGAACUGAAAGUUCGGUUUUCUCGGUUUUCGGUUCCGGUUCCGGUUCCGGGUAGCCAAACUGCUAACCGUAUGGGUUUCGGUUAAACCGAAAAAACCCGAAACUCAGACUCCCCUCGUUCGUUCCACGCGCGCCACGCCCCCACGAACCGGCCAGGCGAGCCCAGCCCAACUUCCAACCGGCCCAUCUAACCUCCUAGCGCCUGCCUUGACCUAAUCCACUCGACGCACGCUCCGCGCCCGCGCCUCCGCUCUUCCCGACGGCCUCCACUCCCGUCGUUCCCCUCGCCUCGAGAGGUCGAGCCGCCGCCGCUACCAGCCCACUCCGGCACUCCCUCUCUCCCACCGAGCCGCCGCCAGCCCACUCCUUCUCUACCAGCAGGCAGCAGGCAGCGCCAGACGCCGUUGGCCGCCAGCUCACUCCCUUUCCUUCGAUGCGCCUUCGCUCACCUCGUCCCAAGCGCUACUCCUCCUCUCCUCCCGCCGCGCCGGGAUCUCCCAAGCUCUAGCCGCGCUAGCCUCGGACCCCUCCUACAAGACAGUGCUCGAGUCGCCCUGGGCCACGUCGGGCAAUUACUUGUGCCCGCACUCACCGACAUGCCGCUGUUCUACAAGACAAUGCUCGAGUCGCCUCGUCGUCAGCUGUUCGGUGGCAUUCCAGACCCUGACGAGGAGACACAGUUGUGGAGAGAACACUGAGAUCGGCGUGAGGCUACCCUGGUGAAUCGAGCUGUUGUGUUCUUAAUUGAUGAACCAACGGAGGAAUCGGCCACAAAAUAAAGCCAUCCACCGCAUCUGAGCCAGGACAUCUUUGAUUUCCUGCCGCCAGACGCAUCGAGCUGCUGCAUGCAGCAAGACUUCAAUUAAUUGUACAAUCUACAUGCUCGGUUCUUUGAUCGUUUGAUCUUGCGUUAGCCCAGUGCUCAUGUGGUGAUUCACUCCAGUGAAAUCAGAAAAAGGAAUUUAGGAAGGAGGCGUUUCUAGUGAGGUUCUAAUAGAAACAUGUUUAUGUAUUUGCGCUUUAUGGCUAUCAAAACGUACACAUCUGCUCUCAGGCAUUUCUCAGCCCAGGUCACUAACCAAACACCCCAUGUACAUGUAUGCCUGGUCAGGUAAAAACAUACAAAUUUUCAGGAAGCUCUCAAGCAUUGCUUCAGAAGAGUUCAUGCCAAAAUUUCAAUUUUCUUCUUUAUUAUGAGUUGUCAGAUUGUUGAAACAUGUGUAUAAAAAUUUACGUGUC
Molecule: long non-coding RNA, 1861 nt
Filed under: Brachypodium distachyon (stiff brome)
Lineage: Eukaryota; Viridiplantae; Streptophyta; Magnoliopsida; Poales; Poaceae
Description: long non-coding RNA (BDIS_LNC003998)
Source: RNAcentral